AUUGAACGCUGGCGGCAUGCCUUACACAUGCAAGUCGAGCGGUAACAGGUUAAGCUGACGAGUGGCGAACGGGUGAGUAAUACAUCGGAACGUGCCCAGUAGUGGGGGAUAGCCCGGCGAAAGCCGGAUUAAUACCGCAUACGACCUAAGGGUGAAAGGGGGGGAUCGCAAGACCUCUCGCUAUUGGAGCGGCCGAUGUCAGAUUAGCUAGUUGGUGGGGUAAAAGCUCACCAAGGCGACGAUCUGUAGCUGGUCUGAGAGGACGACCAGCCACACUGGGACUGAGACACGGCCCAGACUCCUACGGGAGGCAGCAGUGGGGAAUUUUGGACAAUGGGCGCAAGCCUGAUCCAGCCAUGCCGCGUGCGGGAAGAAGGCCUUCGGGUUGUAAACCGCUUUUGUCAGGGAAGAAAUCCUUUGGGUUAAUACCUCGGGGGGAUGACGGUACCUGAAGAAUAAGCACCGGCUAACUACGUG
Molecule: ribosomal RNA, 477 nt
Filed under: uncultured bacterium
Lineage: Bacteria
Description: partial 16S ribosomal RNA
Rfam family: Bacterial small subunit ribosomal RNA
Source: RNAcentral